This is a non-coding RNA of Arachis ipaensis, 810 nucleotides long. NCBI's taxonomy places the organism in Eukaryota, Viridiplantae, Streptophyta, Magnoliopsida, Fabales, Fabaceae. The record is from RefSeq and is a predicted model, not a curated record.
AUUUCUCUAGACUGCACUUUCUUAGAGUCUCAACACAUAAUUGAUUAUAGCUUUUUGCUAGGAUUACAUUUCAGAGCUCCAGAGAAUCUAAGGGCCUUAGCGGAAUAUCCUGGAUCUUUAUAGCAACAGGAUAGCUUAUCUUCUGGAGAAGAUUCAGUCAAGGAAGGGGAUGAGUUGAUUCUUCCUAAAGGGUUGCUGUUGGUUGCCCAUGAACCGGGCUCUAUGAACACUGCACCUAGACCCCACAUUAGAGGAAAUACGUUGAGGGCAUACUCCAUUGGGGACAAAGAAGUUGAUCUUUUACUUCCUGGUACUGCAAGGUAUCUUCUUUGAAUUAGUUGUUCUUGUGCUCUACACUCUUUUGUUACUGUAGAUGAUUUUUUGUUCAUACGUUGAAUUUUUCAGAGUUUUAAGUAGUUCUGGAUUCUGACAACACAAUGCACUAGGUUGAAUAUUGAGCGUGUGUUGAUAUUGUACAGAGAAGUGAAUUGGAGUGGCGAGUUGGCAAUAUCCAGUGACUUGUUAGGAUUUGGUGAGUAGAUUAUACGGAUAGUCAUGGUAAGGAUUUAGGAUUAGUUGAAAGUUGGCAAUAUCCAGUGACUUGUUAGGAUUUUUACCAUUUUACUUUAUUUGCCCUGUGUGCUUGAACUGAUUUCAGAGUUCCAUCCCCAUCAUGGUUCCUUUCCUUCCUUCAUUGUCCCCUUCCCCCCUCACACAAACACAUACACACACACACAUACACACACGACACAAAUGAAAAAGGAAAAAGCUGUAACACUUAAUAGCCUUUACACCAAAUUAUUAUUGUGA